Molecule: ribosomal RNA, 167 nt
Filed under: uncultured bacterium
Lineage: Bacteria
Description: partial 16S rRNA
Rfam family: Bacterial small subunit ribosomal RNA
Source: RNAcentral
CAGUAGGGAAUCUUCCACAAUGGGCGAAAGCCUGAUGGAGCAACGCCGCGUGUGUGAUGAAGGGUUUCGGCUCGUAAAACACUGUUGUAAGAGAAGAAUGACAUUGAGAGUAACUGUUCAAUGUGUGACGGUAUCUUACCAGAAAGGAACGGCUAACUACGUGCCAG